GAAUAUACACAAGAUUCACUAGAAAAUAGUGAAUCAAAGAGGGAGCUUUUCACAAAAUAUCCUUAAGUCAAAUUUUACUUGGUUGGGACCUAUUCUGGUCUUAGCCUUUAAGUUUUAAAGUUUACAAACCUUUUGGUUUGUUGCUGAUUAGAUUGAUUGAGGGAAACGAUCAAAAUCAAGCUCUAGGAGAGUUCUUGUGUUAAGUUCUUGGUGAGUCCCUUCAUUUAACGAUAGACUACUUAAGCAGUGAAGAGAAGGUAGUGGUGGCCAACUCCAAGGUUGAUUCUGUUGAGGCUGAAAACUCAAGGUUGAGGAAGGAUCUGAUUGAAGCUAUGGAUCAGUUGACCAAGGCCAAGGAGAAGGUGAAAGAACUUAAAGAAGUACUAAAGGUUGAGAAAAAACUUGUCAUUCAAAAAGACGAGGAAGUUCAAGCUACCCUCCUAAGAACGGACAAAGAAUGUGAGAAAGUGAUUUCUAGGUUCCCGGAGUUUGAUCACUUCUCCAACAUGCAAUUCGAGCAAUACUUUAAGGGCUAGAGCUUCUUCAUCAGUGGAUGAUGAAGCACCGUAGCCAUGUAGCUGAUUUUGCGAAUCUGGACUUUGAAGCUAAUGAUACUGAGAUCCUUGCGGACGAGGCUAAUGAGAAGGAAGGUGAAACCAUUGCUGAAGCUACCGAGGUUGUUGAGGGAGAAGGUGCUGCUACAGGAGGAGCUAAUGACGAGGCUCACACAAAGGCGAGCCGAGUUGAGGAGAUCGUCAAUGCUCCUUGAAGUAAAAAUUUAAGUUUUUUUUUUUUUUUUUUGGGUUCCAUUUUAAAGACAAUGAAUGCCUCCUAUUUUGAGGCUUUAAAUUUAGAAACGAUGGGUGCCUCCUGUUUUGAGGCUUUUAUUUUAGAAACAACACACUUAUCUUGUUUUGAA
Long non-coding RNA from Quercus lobata, 919 nucleotides. RefSeq lists it as uncharacterized. Lineage: Eukaryota; Viridiplantae; Streptophyta; Magnoliopsida; Fagales; Fagaceae. The record is from RefSeq and is a predicted model, not a curated record. The transcript is spliced from 2 exons.